Long non-coding RNA from Solea solea (common sole), 840 nucleotides. RefSeq lists it as uncharacterized. The transcript is spliced from 7 exons. NCBI's taxonomy places the organism in Eukaryota, Metazoa, Chordata, Actinopteri, Pleuronectiformes, Soleidae. The record is from RefSeq and is a predicted model, not a curated record.
GCGCCACAGCGCCCUCGUGUGCGAGGUGCAUGUGCUGCAGGACACAGGUGAACGAACACCAGCGGCCGUGAAGUAAAGACACAAGUGAUCUGUCGACGGACCUGUGUGAAGUGGAGACGGGUCGGACUUUCCGCAGACAUCUAAAAAAUGUGAUGCCGCGAUGUCUCCCUCAUCUCUCGGUGUAAACACCAGCGGCGGACGCCGUCCUCCCACCAGGUACAGAUGGAGCGGUGGGAACUGAAUCAAAAUGAAGCCGCGUUGUGGGUGGUUGGCUGCGGCGUGAUUGUCCUAAUGAUAUCAUCACUGGCUGUGUACGCCACAGACGGCCUCGUGAAGUCACUUACUGGACUAUAAAGGACACGACUGCCUGGUGAUGCGAGACACUCCGUUAGAGCGGGACAGGAUGGGCCUCCCCAGAGAAGACACGAGCUGAGGGCGGAGUCUCGCUCUGACUCGGGUCCCAUUCGAAAACGCCUGGCCUCGUUCCAGCCCCGCACAGGAGCGUCCGUCCCCAAGCAGCACAGUGCCGGGAGGACACGAGCACCUGAAGCUGCCCGGCACGUUACGGCACUGACACGGGGAAGCCGUCUUUUCUCCACGUGACUGCAGGCGAAGAGUCGCCAUCGACCUGACAAGACUGGUGCUUCCAGCCAUGUUGGUGACCACGCAGCUGUACCGGCCGCUGUCCUCCGGUCUGACCUCCUGUAUCUCCAGUUUGGCCUGAUCUUUGUACCACUCGAUGUCUGGCAGAGGGUCGCUGUCGGCCAGGCACUCCAUGGUCAGGUGUCCGUUAACUGGCACCGUCAACGUCCUCACGUCACCUGAGCCGAGGACGGUUGG